GCCCUUCGCUCCUUCCUUUUCCUUUCCUACUUCCUUUCCUCCUCUCCUCUUUUCCCUCCCCUUUCUCUCCUUUUUCUUCCUUUUCUCCUUCCUUUUUUCUUAUCCUUCCCUCUUCAAAGUAAAUCUUUUGUUAACUCAAUUGGUUUCUACUUUGGUAUUGGAGGUCUUUGCAGCUUCACACCUGCUCCUCUUUGUUCAUUAGCUGGAUCUCAGUGUUAUGCUUGGUUCCACUCGGCGUGAUAAGUUAUCUAUCGCUGAGGACACUGUAAAAGGUGGCCAAGGUAAAUGCAGAUGAACCGCUUCUAAUAGUCCAUUGACUUGGACAAUACUUUUAUGAUCUGAUCUCAAAUCAGGUAGGACUACCCGCUGAACUUAAGC
This 378-nucleotide unclassified non-coding RNA is filed under the name plant metagenome. RNAcentral describes it as "partial contains internal transcribed spacer 2 and large subunit ribosomal RNA". The record is from RNAcentral.